GCCUUCGUGGUGUACUGGUCAGCACGCUCGACGCGUAACCGAGAGGUCCGUGGUUCGAUUCCCGGCGAAGGCG
Molecule: non-coding RNA, 73 nt
Organism: Stegodyphus mimosarum
Lineage: Eukaryota; Metazoa; Arthropoda; Arachnida; Araneae; Eresidae
Source: Rfam